CUAAACAAACAAAGCUUUCUUCUUCUGAGCAAUGGCUGGGACUUUUUUUUCUCUUCUCCUACAAAAGAGGAGGUGAAGCUGACACUGAACAACAUUUGAAACGGGGCCUGGCACAUCACCCCCAGGUAGUUGUCGUCCUCCAGCCGGUAGCAUGACUUCUUGUGGAGAACUUUGUCCAAGGAGUGGGGUUUAGAUUAGAAAGAGAACAAACUAACAAUCUCAACAUCACCCCACAAGAAUACAGGCCGAUGAACACAGGAAGUUAAUGGAAACACAGACCUUGGUGCAAGCUGGCUAUUUAUUGCGGACCUGUAGCAAAGUGUAGCACUUAAAAAUAAAGAAGAAACAAAAAUAAACCUAAUUUAAAAA
RNAcentral lists this long non-coding RNA (369 nucleotides) under Selaginella moellendorffii. RNAcentral's name for it is "long non-coding RNA (SMOE_LNC002113)". Lineage: Eukaryota; Viridiplantae; Streptophyta; Lycopodiopsida; Selaginellales; Selaginellaceae. The record is from RNAcentral.